CGGGGUGGAGUAACGCGUGGGUAACCUGCCUCAUACAGGGGAGUAACAGUUAGAAAUGACUGCUAAUACCGCAUAAGACCACAGUACUGCAUGGUACAGUGGUAAAAACUCCGGUGGUAUGAGAUGGACCCGCGUCUGAUUAGGUAGUUGGUGAGGUAACGGCCCACCAAGCCGACGAUCAGUAGCCGACCUGAGAGGGUGACCGGCCACAUUGGGACUGAGACACGGCCCAG
This 233-nucleotide ribosomal RNA is filed under the name uncultured bacterium. RNAcentral describes it as "partial 16S ribosomal RNA". It matches the Rfam family "Bacterial small subunit ribosomal RNA", at positions 104 to 334 of the family's 1533-position model. The record is from RNAcentral.